UUUCUUUCUUCUUUCCCCUCCCUCUUUUAUUGAAGGUGAGAGAUACUGAAUUGUCAACUGUGUUUCAUGAUGGAGUGCCUUCCAUGAAGGACCUCAGUGCACCUUGCAAAUGUCAUGAGUCAUCAGAGCCCUUAUAAUGGAGGGAAGUAUCCGUGGUCACAAUUUUAUGGUUAAAGCAGCACAGGGA
RNAcentral lists this long non-coding RNA (187 nucleotides) under Mustela putorius furo (domestic ferret). RNAcentral's name for it is "lncRNA (ENSMPUG00000024702.1)". Lineage: Eukaryota; Metazoa; Chordata; Mammalia; Carnivora; Mustelidae. The record is from RNAcentral.